GACAGAGGGUGCAAACGUUGUUCGGAAUUACUGGGCGUAAAGGGCGCGUAGGCGGCCCGCUAAGUCGAACGUGAAAUCCCCAGGCUCAACCUGGGAACUGCGUCCGAUACUGGCAGGCUUGAAUCCGGGAGAGGGAUGUGGAAUUCCAGGUGUAGCGGUGAAAUGCGUAGAUAUCUGGAGGAACACCGGUGGCGAAGGCGGCAUCCUGGACCGGUAUUGACGCUGAGGCGCGAAAGCCAGGGGAGCAAACGGG
Molecule: ribosomal RNA, 253 nt
Filed under: uncultured bacterium
Lineage: Bacteria
Description: partial 16S ribosomal RNA
Rfam family: Bacterial small subunit ribosomal RNA
Source: RNAcentral